Telopea speciosissima is the source of this 237-nucleotide long non-coding RNA. RefSeq lists it as uncharacterized. The record is from RefSeq and is a predicted model, not a curated record. NCBI's taxonomy places the organism in Eukaryota, Viridiplantae, Streptophyta, Magnoliopsida, Proteales, Proteaceae. The transcript is spliced from 3 exons.
CAUGGAUGAAAUGUGAAGAAGAUGAUGUUUGGUCUGAAGACCUUCCUACAUGGCGGUUCUUUCAGUGGGAUGGCUUCUGUUUCUAUUGGUUUCAUCCAGGGCUAUGACGCAACCAAUCAGUGCUUUACAUGCUUAGAAGGCAACCAAAAGAAGGCUUUUGCACUGGCGAUGAGAGGUUGCAGUGUUGCAGUUAAUGUUCAAAUUGGUUAGUAGUUGCAUCCGAUUUUAAUUUUCUUU